RNAcentral lists this ribosomal RNA (253 nucleotides) under uncultured bacterium. RNAcentral's name for it is "partial 16S ribosomal RNA". It matches the Rfam family "Bacterial small subunit ribosomal RNA", at positions 524 to 776 of the family's 1533-position model. The record is from RNAcentral.
UACGGAGGGUGCGAGCGUUGUCCGGAAUCACUGGGCGUAAAGGGCGCGUAGGCGGCCUGGUAAGUAGGGGGUGAAAUCCUGCGGCUUAACCGCAGGGCUGCCUUCUAAACUGUCAGGCUCGAGCACGGUAGAGGCAGAUGGAAUUCCCGGUGUAGCGGUGGAAUGCGUAGAGAUCGGGAAGAACAUCAGUGGCGAAGGCGGCUUACUGGUCCGGUUCUGACGCUGAGGCGCGAAGGCGUGGGGAGCAAACAGG